This is a long non-coding RNA of Harpia harpyja (harpy eagle), 1859 nucleotides long. RefSeq lists it as uncharacterized. The transcript is spliced from 4 exons. The record is from RefSeq and is a predicted model, not a curated record. Lineage: Eukaryota; Metazoa; Chordata; Aves; Accipitriformes; Accipitridae.
AGUGUAACUCUUCAAAAUCAAUAUUUAUUUGCAAACUUUUCACUCAAGAAAAAACAUCCCAGAGUAUCAGUUUUGGGGCCAUGUGCUACUUUAGCACUACUUUGCAUUUGUGGAGCUGAAGUAUUAGAUAAGCUUUGUUCCUUCCUGUGCUUCCGGUUCAGUUGCUGUGUUCUCUUUAUGGCCACGCAGGGAUUUCCAUGGCAUGGCCCCAGGAUUCUGCAAGGAGCCAGCACUGCUGCAAUUAUUGAUCUCUGCUGGACAGCCAAGGAAUGAAAUCACAGGAAAAUGGAGCUGUCUCUUGGGAUGGUUACCUCUAAGUUCUGCAUUGACAGAAUACACCAGAAGGUAAUUUAAAAAGUUGGAGAAGCUGUGAAGACUCUGUUUGUGAAAAUCAGUUGUACCCUAAAUCCUACCAGACAGAACAGAAAAAAGCAUUUCAUGCUUGCUUUCAGGGCUGCCAGUUCUUGGCAGCAUUGCCUCAACACUGCUAUUUAAGCCAGUUCCAGCCUUCUUUAGGAUCCUUUCAUCAGCUUACCUAAACUGCCCAGGCUAAUCGAGUGUUUGUUAAACCCUCUGAAGGUGCUAGGAAAUCCACUCUGCUCUGCUGUUGAAUUUCAUCCCAGUUAUCUGCAUGCAGAAGCUUGCUUUUCCAGGUGUCAACUCAUCUGACUGUUGUAAGAAGUAUACAACUGACUCACAGAAGAGAAUCUAGAAUCUGCUUAUCCUGUUGGUCUGAAUUUGUACUGACUUUGUAGAUACAUAGGGAAUACUGAAAAACCUAUUCACCCUCAAAAGUCACCCUGUUCCCCAGGCUCUGUUGACUGUAGGCACUUAAAUCAGUGAUGUUCAUUUAAGUCAAAACUUUCAAAUCUUUUCCUAAGGGAAGGACAAUGAUAAGCAAGAAUUAAUUUUAUUAUCCAGUGAAGUUACCUUCAGUAUUCACUCAAUGCAAUCAAAGCCAGUGAUCUGCUCUUCUUUGUGACCCGCUCCUUUUUUAUAAUAGAACUUGCUCUAUGCCAGAGUGUGCUCCCUUGUUAGUGAUGGUUAUAGAUACUAAACUUCCCCAAUAAAAUAGUAAUUGUUUUUUAAGCUUCACAAGUAGAAUAAAAUCUAGGCAAAACAUUUCUGAUGGAUGUUUAGAAUUACUAACUGCUGAUAAGUGAAUUAGGUGUAUUUUGGGGGAGGUGUUGAGUAUUUUUUAUCAUUCAGGGUAAAAUCAGUACUAAACAAUCUCUCAUACACUAGCAGCAAUGUAAUCAAACAAGCCGAUUGGGUAGGAAAUAAGGAGUGAAGCUAAUCAGAAAUGUAUAUUAUUUACUGGUGAAUGUUUAUAGACAAACUCUUAUAUGUGUUUGAGAGAAUAGAAUAAAAUGUUUCCCACAUGAUGGCAUUUAAGCUUUAAAGGAGAUGAGCAGUUUCAGAAAGGAUGUUAGUCAUUACUAGUAGGUUGCUUGAACACAGAAAAUGCAAGAAAGACUUAAUUCCCCUUUUCAUUAUCCCCUAUUCAUUUUAUCUCUUUUCUCCCAGCUUUAUACAUAUUCAUGUCUGCCUAGAGGGUUCCUUUACACAGCUGAGCAUGGGAAUUGCUGUUUGUGAAAGUUAGAUUCUACCUUCAUGUUACAGUGUGUGACAGAGAAAAUGGACUGGAGCAGCUCAUCUACUCCUGGGCACCAAAUUGUUGCAGGGGAAAAUAUUUCUUUAAUUGAUUAAAAUGCUAGACUGGGUUUUCCAUAAAUAGAAUCUGAAUCUUAUUGGCCUUGGACACCAUGCUUUAUCUGAAGUAUGUUUCAUGCUGGAAGCUGGGUUUUGCAUCAUGGGGUUUUAAAACGUGGAAGCAUGCAGGGAAAAGAAAUUUAAAA